UACGAAGGGGGCUAGCGUUGCUCGGAAUGACUGGGCGUAAAGGGCGCGUAGGCGGUUUGGACAGUCAGAUGUGAAAUUCCUGGGCUCAACCUGGGGGCUGCAUUUGAUACGUUCGGACUAGAGUGGGGAAGAGGGUCGUGGAAUUCCCAGUGUAGAGGUGAAAUUCGUAGAUAUUGGGAAGAACACCGGUGGCGAAGGCGGCGACCUGGUCCUUGACUGACGCUGAGGCGCGAAAGCCAGGGGAGCAAACGGG
This 253-nucleotide ribosomal RNA is filed under the name uncultured bacterium. Its description in RNAcentral is "partial 16S ribosomal RNA". It matches the Rfam family "Bacterial small subunit ribosomal RNA", at positions 524 to 776 of the family's 1533-position model. The record is from RNAcentral.